UACGUAGGGGGCAAGCGUUGUCCGGAUUUAUUGGGCGUAAAGAGCGUGUAGGCGGCCAAGCAGGUCAGCUGUGAAAACUCGAGGCUCAACCUCGAGACGUCGGUUGAAACCGUUUGGCUAGAGUCCGGAAGAGGAGAGUGGAAUUCCCGGUGUAGCGGUGAAAUGCGCAGAUAUCGGGAGGAACACCGAUGGCGAAGGCAACCCCCUGGGACGAUACUGACGCUGAGGCACGAAAGCGUGGGGAGCAAACAGG
RNAcentral lists this ribosomal RNA (253 nucleotides) under uncultured bacterium. RNAcentral's name for it is "partial 16S ribosomal RNA". It matches the Rfam family "Bacterial small subunit ribosomal RNA", at positions 524 to 776 of the family's 1533-position model. The record is from RNAcentral.